CAGCUUGCUGGGUGGAUCAGUGGCGAACGGGUGAGUAACACGUGAGCAAUCUGCCCCUGACUCUGGGAUAAGCGCUGGAAACGGCGUCUAAUACUGGAUACGAACCGUGGAGGCAUCUUCAACGGUUGGAAAGAUUUUUUGGUCAGGGAUGAGCUCGCGGCCUAUCAGCUUGUUGGUGAGGUAAUGGCUCACCAAGGCGUCGACGGGUAGCCGGCCUGAGAGGGUGACCGGCCACACUGGGACUGAGACACGGCCCAGACUCCUACGGGAGGCAGCAGUGGGGAAUAUUGCACAAUGGGCGAAAGCCUGAUGCAGCAACGCCGCGUGAGGGAUGACGGCCUUCGGGUUGUAAACCUCUUUUAGCAGGGAAGAAGCGAAAGUGACGGUACCUGCAGAAAAAGCGCCGGCUAACUACGUGCCAGCAGCCGCGGUAAUACGUAGGGCGCAAGCGUUAUCCGGAAUUAUUGGGCGUAAAGAGCUCGUAGGCGGUUUGUCGCGUCUGCUGUGAAAUCCCGAGGCUCAACUUCGGGUCUGCAGUGGGUACGGGCAGACUAGAGUGCGGUAGGGGAGAUUGGAAUUCCUGGUGUAGCGGUGGAAUGCGCAGAUAUCAGGAGGAACACCGAUGGCGAAGGCAGAUCUCUGGGCCGUAACUGACGCUGAGGAGCGAAAGGGUGGGGAGCAAACAGGCUUAGAUACCCUGGUAGUCCACCCCGUAAACGUUGGGAACUAGUUGUGGGGUCCAUUCCACGGAUUCCGUGACGCAGCUAACGCAUUAAGUUCCCCGCCUGGGGAGUACGGCCGCAAGGCUAAAACUCAAAGGAAUUGACGGGGACCCGCACAAGCGGCGGAGCAUGCGGAUUAAUUCGAUGCAACGCGAAGAACCUUACCAAGGCUUGACAUAUACGAGAACGCUGCAGAAAUGUAGAACUCUUUGGACACUCGUAAACAGGUGGUGCAUGGUUGUCGUCAGCUCGUGUCGUGAGAUGUUGGGUUAAGUCCCGCAACGAGCGCAACCCUCGUUCUAUGUUGCCAGCACGUAAUGGUGGGAACUCAUGGGAUACUGCCGGGGUCAACUCGGAGGAAGGUGGGGAUGACGUCAAAUCAUCAUGCCCCUUAUGUCUUGGGCUUCACGCAUGCUACAAUGGCCGGUACAAAGGGCUGCAAUACCGUGAGGUGGAGCGAAUCCCAAAAAGCCGGUCCCAGUUCGGAUUGAGGUCUGCAACUCGACCUCAUGAAGUCGGAGUCGCUAGUAAUCGCAGAUCAGCAACGCUGCGGUGAAUACGUUCCCGGGUCUUGUACACACCGCCCGUCAAGUCAUGAAAGUCGGUAACACCUG
RNAcentral lists this ribosomal RNA (1336 nucleotides) under Microbacterium sp. RNAcentral describes it as "bacterial SSU rRNA". It matches the Rfam family "Bacterial small subunit ribosomal RNA", at positions 76 to 1423 of the family's 1533-position model. Lineage: Bacteria; Bacillati; Actinomycetota; Actinomycetes; Micrococcales; Microbacteriaceae. The record is from RNAcentral.